Labrus mixtus (cuckoo wrasse) is the source of this 2017-nucleotide long non-coding RNA. RefSeq lists it as uncharacterized. NCBI's taxonomy places the organism in Eukaryota, Metazoa, Chordata, Actinopteri, Labriformes, Labridae. The transcript has 4 exons. The record is from RefSeq and is a predicted model, not a curated record.
ACUAUUGAACAUUUUUCUCCUAGUUGUUUUUCUUACAAAAAACAUUAUUUUCUUUUACUUCCUAUUUUGAAGCCUAAAUAUUUAGUAGAGCUCACUCAUAAACCAGAUGGGUGAAAGAAAAACGAUCUCGCCUUUUCUGGCCACAAUACUGACGCAUCAGCACGGCAAAUAUACCUCUAUUCUUAUUAAAUGUAUGACAUAAUUGUACAUUUCCUAAUGUGAAAUGCAUAUAGCAGAGAACGUGCCCCUCAUAUUCAAAGCCUUCGUCCUGAUUUCUGCAGAUAGACAUGAACAUGGGCAGGAUGUUUAUACAGCAGAAUGUAAACAUUUUCGCUGGCCUUCUUUAAAUAAAAAAUCAAGUUAAGCUCCGUUAGAUCAGCUAAUGCUCAAUCUGAUGUGCCUGCCCGCACUGUCUUGUCUAGAUGCUGGACGUUUUUGCGCAUGGAUAUUGUUUGUAUGAUGAAGUCAUAAUAUUUACGCAGAGACGCAGGAGAAGUGUGGUGGAAAGUCUGCCGAACUGUGAGUGCACAAGCUGGACGAGGACUGGAGAUCGACUCCUACGGACAGAUUUACAUCGAAGGAUCCAGGGAUGAAGGAAGACUCAGUCUCAGAGUGGGGGCCUGUUUCAUGUCCCACCGUGCACCCUGCACACCUCCUGGGCUCCCUCACAGUGUGUCUGAUGCAGACAGAGACGUCAAGAACGAGCUGAAGCAGAAACCACAGAGAAGAACUCCAAAGAGAGAGGCAGGGCAGACUUGGGUCCGAGUCAGACUCAGACCCCUCUGCUGCAGUGUGAACAGGCGAAGAAGCUGAUGACGUAGUAAGGACUGUUUAAAAGUCAGCAGAGAGCAAAGGCUGCAGUAGGCCCGUGUGCGGCUUUGGCCACAGGAAGCCGUGAAUAUUUGGGAGAAUGGAAGAUGUCUUAUGGAGGAGACAUACUGCCCCCCCCCCCCUCCCCCUCCCAGACCCCACCCACUCACCACCCCAUCUGACACCUGACCCCUUCGUGUGUUUAUAUCAGAGCGUGGAAGUGAGAAAUAGUGAUGAGUCACUCUGACUGAGUGUUUACACUCCGGAGUCACGCAAGGAAGGAAAUCAGCCACGGUCUGCUAAAAGUGGCGAGGUGAGAGAGAAUAGCCGAGUCUUCCAGAGCUGCACUGAUUUACCUCUCACUGAAUUUAUUUCACCUCAUCUCAGCUGCAAAAUACUUUUGACCAGCAGAAAAUGUCAACAUUCAGAGCGCUAUUUCGAGGAAUAGACAACGCUCACAGCAGCAAGGACAAAAACACGAGGCAGUUAAAGACGAUAACCUAACUUACAUCUGAGUGUGUCUGUUUGUACAUAUUGUGUAUGUGUGUGAGUUUAGUCUGCUGCUGCCACACUGAUUAUUUUAAAAGAGAAAAAAACAGAUUUUAAGAGCAUCUUAAGUCCACAUAAAAAUAUUAAUAAAAUAAUCUGCGUUUAAGAAUUGAACACACCACUGUCAUAGAAUGAAAGCUUUUAUUGCCACAUAAUAAUGUUUCUCGUCAGCCGGAUGACUUAUCACUGCAUAACUUCACUUUGAAUACUUUGGAGACCAGCAGCAAUGAUAUGUACUUAUGAUGAGUGCUAAGCAGCAUUGAGCAUUUCUGCACCGUUCGAAAAGAGUUCAACAAAAACAUUCAAAGUUUCCAACGUGUUCUUACUAUCCCUGAUAUACUGCACAUAUCACGAUUAAACUUGAAUUUAUGUUCAUCCACAAUUUACAUUUCUAGUUCAGAUUUUCUACAAAAGAAAGAUGUCAAAAAUAUUAUGAAGCCACUUCAUGCCCUUACUUGAUUUCAUUCAUUUCUUUUGUGUCUAUCAGGUUAUUUUCCAGUUUGCACAAAUAAAAAAUAACAUUUAUGUAAUUAUCCUUACGGUGUUUGACAAAGAGAUUUCACAAAAAAUACAAACACAUACUUUUGUACAGUCGAAAAUCACUAAAAAACUGUAAUAGCUCAGAUUUUAUUCAGACGAGAAGUUGGUAUCAAGAACU